ACAAAUCCAUAUGCGUGUGACAGGGCGACCUGUCCGCGAAUAUUAAACCUGCCGGUUCUUUGUGAGCUGGUUGGAAAUAAAUGUAUGUUGUGUUGACAGUGUGUGUGAUUUUUAAUUAUUGA
This 122-nucleotide unclassified non-coding RNA is filed under the name uncultured Rozellomycota. RNAcentral's name for it is "uncultured Cryptomycota sequence contains ITS1". Lineage: Eukaryota; Fungi; Rozellomycota. The record is from RNAcentral.